This 253-nucleotide ribosomal RNA is filed under the name uncultured bacterium. RNAcentral describes it as "partial 16S ribosomal RNA". It matches the Rfam family "Bacterial small subunit ribosomal RNA", at positions 524 to 776 of the family's 1533-position model. The record is from RNAcentral.
UACGUAGGGUGCAAGCGUUAAUCGGAAUUACUGGGCGUAAAGCGUGCGCAGGCGGUUUUGUAAGUCUGUCGUGAAAGCCCCGGGCUUAACCUGGGAAUUGCGAUGGAGACUGCAAGGCUUGAAUCUGGCAGAGGGGGGUAGAAUUCCACGUGUAGCAGUGAAGUGCGUAGAUAUGUGGAGGAACGCCGAUGGCGAAGGCAGCCCCCUGGGUCAAAACUGACGCUCAUGCACGAAAGCGUGGGGAGCAAACAGG